ACCAGACUCCUACGGGAGGCAGCAGUGGGGGAUAUUGCACAAUGGGGGAAACCCUGAUGCAGCGACGCCGCGUGGGUGAAGAAGCGCCUCGGCGCGUAAAGCCCUGUCAGCAGGGAAGAAAGAGACGAAAGUCUUGUGACAGUACCUGACUAAGAAGCCCCGGCUAACUACGUGCCAGCAGCCGCGGUAAUACGUAGGGGGCAAGCGUUAUCCGGAUUUACUGGGUGUAAAGGGAGCGUAGGCGGUUAGAUAAGUCUGAUGUGAAAGCCCACAGCUUAACUGUGGGAUUGCAUUGGGAACUAUAGAACUAGAGUGUCGGAGAGGUAAGUGGAAUUCCUAGUGUAGCGGUGAAAUGCGUAGAUAUUAGGAGGAACACCAGUGGCGAAGGCGGCCUGCUGGACGAUGACUGACGCUGAGGCUCGAAAGCGUGGGGAGCAAACAGGAUUAGAUACCCCCGUAU
This 460-nucleotide ribosomal RNA is filed under the name uncultured bacterium. RNAcentral's name for it is "partial 16S ribosomal RNA". It matches the Rfam family "Bacterial small subunit ribosomal RNA", at positions 330 to 793 of the family's 1533-position model. The record is from RNAcentral.